Molecule: long non-coding RNA, 904 nt
Organism: Labrus bergylta (ballan wrasse)
Lineage: Eukaryota; Metazoa; Chordata; Actinopteri; Labriformes; Labridae
Source: RefSeq, a predicted model, not a curated record
CAGCAGGGAAUCGUUCCACACUUCCUGUGGCUCGUCCCGCUGGACUGGAGCGAGGAAGGACGGAUCGGUCUGUGCAUAGAAGUGUACGGCUGCUCCUACUCGUAACACACCUUCCUAGCCACCAGCUUCCUGCAGCUGCCAGGACGAGCAGAUCACAACACGAUAUCUGUGAGCGUCCAGUUUCUUACGCUGAACCCCGAUGGGCUUCUCUUCUUCAGUAAUCUCGAUGAUGGCACUCUGGAGAUCUCCCUGGAGGAGAGCAAGGUGGUAGUUCAUGUCAACGUUUCAAAGGGGACCAGCAACAACCGGGUCGACUUAUCAUCAGGUUCAAGCCUUAACGACGGCCAAUGGCACUCAAUACGUUUGGUCGCCAAGGAGAACUUUGCCAUGUUGACGAUAGACGGCGAGGAGGCGUCUGCUGUGAGCUCCACUUCACCUCUCAGCAUCACCACAGGAGGAACCUAUCACUUGGGAGGUAAAGGGUCACCCCCAACACCCUUCACUUCAUUCUGCAUCCACUGACAUCCCAUCAAAUUCCUGUCAAGUUCCCAUCAAUACCCAAAGAUUUAGCAAAAAUCUGACAGAGAUGGGUUUUUAUCAUUUUAUUUACAAAAAGAUUAAAGAUGCUUUAUUAAAAGUUUAACAGAACACUCUUAAUAUUCACAUAUACACAAAAUAAAAAGUCCUGUAAGUAGUCAAUAUAUUAAUUCAUGAUCCCAAGGAAUACUAUGCAUAAUCCAUUUUCCACUUUUGUAAUGUUUGUGAUUCAAUUCCUUGACUUCAGCUGAUGUUUACACAUAAAUAUAAAAUGUUCAACCAGUAAGUGCGACUGAGAUUAUUAGGUAUUUUGAGGAGACAAGGUUUUUAUUACAGUGCAAUGAAUAAAUAUCUUCAAAAGCAAAAA